CCUCGGGCUGCACCCCAGAUAGAGGUGAUCCUGACGUGCCCUCGGUGACGGCUCCGCUCACCCAUCACCCGGGUGCGACAGUGCCGUUUGGGGUCCGUUCUGACACCGUGUGACAAACCACGCCUGCAGAGUCGCGUGGGGGCCGGUUUUAAGGCUCUGACCAAACGGGAACCACGAAGUACAUAGAGAUACAAGACCACCGGCCCUUCUGCAAGGCUGAAGACCUCUUCCCGGGGCCGAGGGAGACAGAGCCUUCCCUGUACUCCACGCUUUGGACUGGUGACAUUCUUUGAGAGUAUAAUUAAAAGAACUUGUGCUCUGCUCUCA
Molecule: long non-coding RNA, 327 nt
Organism: Lontra canadensis (Northern American river otter)
Lineage: Eukaryota; Metazoa; Chordata; Mammalia; Carnivora; Mustelidae
Exons: 2
Source: RefSeq, a predicted model, not a curated record